GUAGGUGGCGAGCGUUAUCCGGAUUUAUUGGGCGUAAAGCGUGCGCAGGCGGUUUGUUAAGUCUAAAAUAAAAGCCCGAAGCUUAACUUCGGUUCGUUUUAGAAACUGGCAGACUCGAGUAUGGUAGAGGCAAAUGGAAUUUCUAGUGUAGCGGUAAAAUGCGUAGAUAUUAGAAGGAACACCAGUGGCGAAGGCGAUUUGCUGGGCCAUAACUGACGCUCAUGCACGAAAGCGUGGGGAGCAAA
Molecule: ribosomal RNA, 245 nt
Filed under: uncultured bacterium
Lineage: Bacteria
Description: partial 16S ribosomal RNA
Rfam family: Bacterial small subunit ribosomal RNA
Source: RNAcentral